AGAUCGGUUCGUACACACUGAUUCAGAGGAGGAUCAGCAGCGAUGAAUUACUCAACAAAGUUGUGAAGAGGCCAAUUAUCUGAAAAUACAACUCUUGACAUUAUCAGGAGCUGUUUUGCCUACUUUGCUUUGAGUCCAACCUACAGCCCGUCAGGACAUGGGAAACAAAGCUGCAGUAACUAGUGAGGACAAAAUUGUUGUAAAGACUGUAGACGGACAUGAAAUUUAUAACAAAUCAAGUAAGUACAAUAUAUCAGGGCCCUCUUGUCAGGUUACACAAAACAUGAAAGUGAGAGGUCUUCAGCAGAAUGAACAGAUGCGGUUUGCAAUUAAUGAAGUGAUGGAACACCACAGCAACCAAGAAAGACAACUGCAAUACUACGAUUCACCUCGAAGAAUGUUGAAACCAAACUACUAAAUACUGUUCAUCCAGAAAAACGGCUAAAUGUCUGAUCACAUAUAAUGGGUGGACAAAUGACAAAGUCUAAUCGUGAUUUAUUUGUUACAAGUGAAGAAACAACGACUGUAACAUCACUAGAUGGUUCUAAGUUUAUUGCACAUCAAUCACAAGUCACAGAGAACGGGAAGGUGAAGCAGCUUAAACGUGGACUUGACAUGUACAGCUCGCCCACACAUGGUCAGGGUCAGCAGCUGAUGUUCUCUCGUCAUGAUGAGUACGACUCCACAAAGGCAAAAGAGGGACAAAUAGAAGCUGCUACAAAAAAGAACAAAAAUAGUGAAGUGAAAGACAAAGGAAGGGGGGAAAAGCAAACGAACAAAGUGCCAUCUUUCCAUACAAGCACGGUAAAGGAUACUUAAUUGUUACCUGGUGUAUUUUAUGGACCAUUAACUUGGAGAACAUAAUUUACAGUUACAAAAGUCUGGCAGCUGUUCAUUUUUUAGAGUCUAUUAUUUUUAAAGAAAGGUAGCCGUUAUUAACAAACAUACUAAUGAAGUUUAAAACAUCUGCUGAAAUUUAAGCCAACCUUGUUAACUCUUUGGGUCAUAAAGUGACCAAAAAUAUUCCCCAUAAUGAUAGGGUUGAAUUAUUACUUUCUAUUUCCACUAAGCUAGCUGGAGUUUAAUCUGCUGUCAUGGAAAACAGACAGGUAAAACUGUUAUGUCACAUGCGCGUUCGUAGUGUCAAAGGAACGGUAAUCGGCAAAGAAGAAUGGGAGCUCACAGAAGAAGUGGAUUACGUGAAAGAGGUUUGCUACGACCGAUUACGAAAGUCUUUUGAUAAUGCUGUUAGAGACUGCAGGUCUGUUAUGGAUAUGCCCAAUGAAGUUCGGGAUGUGAUCUGGUAUGUUGAUGACACAUUUGACGAAUACGAUACGCAGAUCGUAAUCAUAGAAAUUUUAGUUUAUGAUCGGAUAAACACCAUUGCUGAAGUCGUGACAAAGCACCUGAAGUUAAAUAAACUUGACUCUCGUGCUGCCCGCAACUUGAUGAGACAGGAACUGAGAAUCGUUGAAGAAUGUUGUGAAAACUUAAUGCGUGUUUACUCUACAACAAGGAUGCUGACAUGGAACUGAGUGCUGGUCCUCUUGAACUGUUUACACAUCUUGUUCUCUGUUGGGAAAGAAAACUGUCUUUCGGCUAUGUGCUUCCACUUGCACGAGACACGUGCAUUGCUGCAUACCUUUCUUCUGUAGGGACGAUCAGCACAUAUAGAGAGAGGACAAUGUGGACAAACUUUUAUGAUUCACGUUUCUAAGCGUUCGUCCCUCGAAAAGAAUUAUUUGAACAAGACGAUUUUUGCAGCAGAAAGUAGAAUGCAAAACUUAUGUCGGUUUAUUAACAUACUGACAAUAUGGAAAAUGAAAUAACUUUACUGACAGGGAAAAUGUGAUCAAACUAUAACCGAGUUUUGAAAAGUUGUUUGUCAAGGUCCCACGAACCGAGUAGUUUGGAAGGUGGUGGUAAACGUUGAGACACUGGAGCUAGGGUAAACACAGCAAUUCUAAAUGUGUUUGAGAAGACCUUGCUAAUAUAUUUACCAAUACAACAAGUUUUGGAGGCUUAGCCUUUUCGGAACUUUGCCCAGUUAAGAAAGUCACACACUCCUGUUAAGGAGGAGUUUGUGUUCUCCAUGAUUGCUGAGAUAGACUAUUUAAGUGUAUCCUCUACUUUUUCCAGUACUUCUGUAGACAAGACUUUCUAACAAGCAACUAUGUUGUGACUUCAAAACCUACUGAUGUAAUAAUGGAGGCACCUAGAUGAGUAUGUCUUAAAAAGGCGGGACAUCUUCUGUCUGCUUUUCUAAAUUGAUCGAAAGAAAUAUCUUUUAUAUUCAUCACCUAUUCUACCAAGAACCCUUUUAUUGGAACGAGAUGAUAUACUUGUCAAACUUAAUGAUGUUUUAAAUACGUUGAUUUGUUCAUUUUGUAUGGUGGUUAUUCGGGUUGUAAAGUUUAUUGUAUUAUUAUUUUUUUAACUUCGUGCAUGGUAAACCAAUUUAUAUCUAAAUUUCUGAAUAUUUUAUCUUCAGCUUUAUCAAACGGAAGGUUAAAAUUAAAGAAGAAUAACAAAAUAAAUAUCCUGAUAACAUUGAUGAACAUUUUUGAAGCGAUUGUCAGAUUUUAUUUGGAAAUAAAUAAUAACGUUACUGAAAAAUAAUACUUGUCAUAGAAGGUCAGCCGAUGAUUAGAAGAUUUGUGAUAUAAGCACUAUGAGAUGUAUAGCUGCGAGGUCAAGUGUCAGCACUUCUUAUAUUUUCAUUAACAAAUUUUAAAUGUAAUUUUUGAGCACAUAAUCCCUUCCAUAAAAGCUAUGAAAUUCGCAAUAAAAAUAAGAUUCUUCCACUAAAUUAUGUUCCUAAAAUUAACAAGAUUUUAAUAAUCAGUACAAGAUCGUAGACAAUAUGUAAGAAAAUUUUGUUUUAUUUUUCAUCUUUGGUGCUUAAUUUCUCUGCAUGGCUGUCCGACUAAUAAUCAUAAGCUCCUUAGCUGCUUUUCAGAAUUCAUAGUAACCAGUUGUGUCUUUAGUGUCUUUCUUAAGAAUAGGUAAUCAUCUUGGUUCAUUUUCUCCUCUCUUUUUAUUUGUUGUUACACAUUCUUAUAUUUCACUUAUUUACUUUGUUUUCAUAUUUAGGCUCAAUGCUUUGAAUGAUUAAAAUGCUGAAAAAAAUUAUGCCAAAUCCCUUUUCAAAUAAUCCAGAAGAGAUCAACUAGCGUUUCACGUUGACGCUUUUCUGAUGUCAUUUGUCACCUGCCACGUGUUUACAAAGCUGUACGCCCGUUAGCGAUCAUUAUUAACGGAACCAAGAGAUAAAACACAGAUUCGUGCAUGUUCCAGCUUAUAAAUUAUCACCUUACAUAUGCACUUAAAAAUUCAUGAAUCACACCUACCCCUUCCCCCGACCACACACACAGACACAAACACACGCGUGCGCGCGGGCUUUCUCUCUCUCACACACACAUGGCAAUUUAAGAUUGAUUGAAUCAUGUAGUGGUCUAGUUGACGUUUUUUUAUAUUUAGUAGAAGUGGUUUUUCUUCAUAUUAAACAGUCUGUUAACAUA
Long non-coding RNA from Pomacea canaliculata, 3521 nucleotides. RefSeq lists it as uncharacterized. Lineage: Eukaryota; Metazoa; Mollusca; Gastropoda; Architaenioglossa; Ampullariidae. The transcript is spliced from 3 exons. The record is from RefSeq and is a predicted model, not a curated record.